GGAGUGCGUGCAUGACUAAUACAUGCAAGUCGAGCGGACUUGAAGAGAAGCUUGCUUCUCUGAUGGUUAGCGGCGGACGGGUGAGUAACACGUAGGCAACCUGCCCUCAAGCUUGGGACAACUACCGGAAACGGUAGCUAAUACCGAAUACUUGCUUUCUUCGCCUGAAGGGAGCUGGAAAGACGGAGCAAUCUGUCACUUGAGGAUGGGCCUGCGGCGCAUUAGCUAGUUGGUGAGGUAACGGCUCACCAAGGCGACGAUGCGUAGCCGACCUGAGAGGGUGAUCGGCCACACUGGGACUGAGACACGGCCCAGACUCCUACGGGAGGCAGCAGUAGGGAAUCUUCCGCAAUGGGCGAAAGCCUGACGGAGCAAUGCCGCGUGAGUGAUGAAGGUUUUCGGAUCGUAAAGCUCUGUUGCCAGGGAAGAACGUCCUUGAGAGUAACUGCUCAAGGAGUGACGGUACCUGAGAAGAAAGCCCCGGCUAACUACGUGCCAGCAGCCGCGGUAAUACGUAGGGGGCAAGCGUUGUCCGGAAUUAUUGGGCGUAAAGCGCGCGCAGGCGGUCAUUUAAGUCUGGUGUUUAAUCCCGGGGCUCAACCCCGGAUCGCACUGGAAACUGGAUGACUUGAGUGCAGAAGAGGAGAGUGGAAUUCCACGUGUAGCGGUGAAAUGCGUAGAGAUGUGGAGGAACACCAGUGGCGAAGGCGACUCUCUGGGCUGUAACUGACGCUGAGGCGCGAAAGCGUGGGGAGCAAACAGGAUUAGUAUUUGG
RNAcentral lists this ribosomal RNA (775 nucleotides) under Paenibacillus illinoisensis. RNAcentral's name for it is "bacterial SSU rRNA". It matches the Rfam family "Bacterial small subunit ribosomal RNA", at positions 34 to 790 of the family's 1533-position model. The record is from RNAcentral. Lineage: Bacteria; Bacillati; Bacillota; Bacilli; Caryophanales; Paenibacillaceae.